This 493-nucleotide long non-coding RNA is filed under the name Capra hircus (goat). RNAcentral's name for it is "lncRNA (ENSCHIG00010030313.1)". The record is from RNAcentral. Lineage: Eukaryota; Metazoa; Chordata; Mammalia; Artiodactyla; Bovidae.
UCCUAGCCUCACAUUCCUAUUAACAGUAGGCAUUCUGAUACAGGUAUCAGGAUAUAUAUUUCAUGAUUUCUUUUUCAUAUGCUGAAAAGGGACCUACUUAAUGCUGUGAACUCGAUUUAUUUCUAGUCCUUUGUUAUGCUCAUAGUCAAUGUGACAUUAUAGAAAACCAUGUCAUACUAAUUACAAAAUCAUUUCAGUAACCCAAUAUUAUGGACUUUUUCCUUCCCUGAUAAUAUAGCCUUUUUGAGAUGAUCAGAUUACACUGGAGAGAAUUGCUGAGUGUAAAUAGUGGUGAAUUAUUCAAUUACCCAUCAUUAAUCUAUUGAACGAUAACCUCAAGAUAGAAAAUUCAAGGAAUUCUUCUAUGUAUUAAGAGCAUUAAAAUCCUCCUUUUCAACAACUCUUUCAGGGCCAGUCCUGAGAUCUUCCCGUGUCUCCUCAAGAUCUGCCUAUUCCCAGCCUUUAAUCCCAAUUGGAUGCUUCACAUCGGUCC